RNAcentral lists this ribosomal RNA (464 nucleotides) under uncultured bacterium. RNAcentral describes it as "SSU rRNA". It matches the Rfam family "Bacterial small subunit ribosomal RNA", at positions 26 to 518 of the family's 1533-position model. The record is from RNAcentral.
AGGAUUAACGCUGGCGGCGUGCCUAACACAUGCAAGUCGAACGAGGUAGCAAUACCUAGUGGCAGACGGGUGAGUAACGCGUGGUCAACCGACCGUUGAGAGGGGGAUAACUAGCCGAAAGGCUAGCUAAUACCGCAUACGUCUCCGAGGGGCAUCCUUCGGCGAUAAAAGGAGCAAUCCGCUCGAUGACGGGACCGCGUCCCAUUAGCUAGAUGGUGGGGUAACGGCCUACCAUGGCACCGAUGGUAGCUGGUUUGAGAGAGCGACCAGCCACACUGGGACUGAGACACGGCCCAGACUCCUACGGGAGGCAGCAGUGAGGAAUUUUCCGCAAUGGGCGAAAAGCCUGACGGAGCGACGCCGCGUGUGGGAAGAAGGCCUUAGGGUCGUAAACCACUGUCGAAGGGGACGAUAAUGACGGUACCCUUGGAGGAAGCCCCGGCUAACUACGUGCCAGCAGCCGC